Haliotis rubra (blacklip abalone) is the source of this 234-nucleotide long non-coding RNA. RefSeq lists it as uncharacterized. The transcript is spliced from 3 exons. The record is from RefSeq and is a predicted model, not a curated record. Lineage: Eukaryota; Metazoa; Mollusca; Gastropoda; Lepetellida; Haliotidae.
GGUCCCUGUCUGUGGAAGAGGAGAGCCUUGAGCCAGACUGAAGCUGUGCCUAUAAAGAAGCUUAGGAUUGAAACUGUUGGUUAUGGUAAGGAGAAACAGGAAGUGGGAGAGGUGGAGUUCGACCCCAGACACCCUGAAGACAGACAGAGUUUGUCACAGGAGGCAACAAAACAGUUUAUUGAUGAAUUGACAGAGGUUGCCCCUGUCGCAGUUGCUCUUCAGCUGCUCUCAGAC